Molecule: long non-coding RNA, 972 nt
Organism: Nylanderia fulva
Lineage: Eukaryota; Metazoa; Arthropoda; Insecta; Hymenoptera; Formicidae
Source: RefSeq, a predicted model, not a curated record
AUAUUGUUGCAUGAAUUCCACGUACAUGGUUUGAAAUUUGCUGUCUCUCAAAUUUUUCUCAGUGUGUUGCAGAGCUCGGCGGGCGGCGCGGAUUGUUCCUGAGAGGUCCGGCAGAGAGUCAAUCGUGGGCAGGCGCACGAUAUACCGGCCGUCGGCGUUGCGUGAUUGGUGCAGGCGAUAGUGCUUUUCGCACUCCAGUUCGGCCUUGGAGAAGAGCUGAGACAGCCGGCGAACUUCCUCUUGCUCCCAGAAGCAACGCACCAAACAGGCCCUCGCGGAUGAUUACUCCGUAGACGUCGGCGCCCAGCAGAAGGUCUACUGGAUCCGCGGAACUGAAUUCUGAAUCGGCGAGCUCCAGGUCCUUUAGAUGGGUCCAGGAUUGCAGACUUCGGCGGCAUCCUCCGGCGAAGAGAGUGAGCUUCGGCAAGAUCAAGGCGGCGACGGAGUUGGACUGGUCACCGUUGUGCGCUUGAAAGGUCUGGCUGCCUGGUUCCUGCCAAUGAUGGACUGGAAGAGGUCUCGGAAGGAAGGCCAGUCUUCGUACUUCCCGGCGAAGGUCGGCGGCUGAAUUUUUGGCAAUGCGGUCCGAGGAGCGGCGGCCGGUGUCGCUGCCGAAAUUGAGCUGGAUGUAUGCUCUUGUCGUUGGAGAGCGCUCUUCAGAUCGAGCAUGAGGCCCUUGUUCUGCAGCUUCUCGAGAUUUUGAAGCCGGGCCUCCACCGCGCCGAGGGUGAUAUUGGCCUCGCCGAGCUUCCGAAGGUUCUCGUACGCGCGCGAGAUCUUGCCGUAUAGCACUGUGGCUGUGGCAAUGAUUGCCUUUGUGUCUGCCAUCUCUAACACUGUCUCUUUUUUCCAGAAGCACUGGUCACCGACACUGAUUCACUAUCGCUUCCGUGGCACCGGAUUCAAAGGAGGUUCCUGAGAAUCCGGCUCGAAGGACCAAAUAAUGUGCGCGACGGAAAGCAGGAUAGGAAG